Clupea harengus (Atlantic herring) is the source of this 892-nucleotide long non-coding RNA. RefSeq lists it as uncharacterized. NCBI's taxonomy places the organism in Eukaryota, Metazoa, Chordata, Actinopteri, Clupeiformes, Clupeidae. The record is from RefSeq and is a predicted model, not a curated record.
AGAGCUAGAGUGUGUACUGUGUGUGUGUGUGUGCACAAGCAUGCUGCCAGCAUUUCAUGAGGUCUUUGACUGUGGGUGUGUGCUCUUGUCAUGUCUGUGAAUUUAUGAAUGGGCAGAGGAUGUGUGGUACGUGUGGUCAUGUCUGUGAAGGAGAGACCGCGAGAGGGAGGGAGGGAGCGAGCGAGGGAGGACUCAGUGCUGGGGAGAGAGAGAGACAGACAGAGAGAGAGGAGCACACACCAGCAGCUCAUCACCAUCACGGCAGAGAGAGGAGAGCGGGGCGGAAAACUAAAAGAGCUAGACCAGACUGCUGAGAGUCUCUCCAAUUACCUCACACCAAACCCCAGAACACCGCCGUCAAACACUCCGGCUCCGCCAUGGAACAGAAGUCCACCUCCCCCCAGAGGCAUCCUGUGAAGAGCAGGUCCAAGUCCACAGAGGAGAUCCAGCAAGCCAAAAAGGCCUUUCACACUCCUCAGAAGUCUCUUCCUGGCCGCUCAGACUUGGAAAAAGUAAAGGAAGGUCCGGAGGAGUCUGAGAUUCCGUCCUCAUCCUCAUCCACUGAAGAGUUCAAGUGAUGUUUACCCAGAGCAUGAGGGCGAUACCGGACAGCACACACAUAUUUCCUAUUUCUCCCCUUCUGAACAUACUUAACACACACACACACACACACACAAACACAUCAUAUUCUAUUAGAAUAAUUUUUUGCAAUGAAUGAUUUAUAUUAUGAUGAAGGGUAUUUGGAAACUUGAAAGUCUGAUUAAAAGCCCCCUCCCCUCCCAAAAGCAUCUGUAUAUUCAUGUACUGCCAUGAUACGCUGAGUGGCAUAUACCAGCUGAAUGUCCAUUCAUAAUAAAGUAGUUGUGCCGAGACUGGGGCCUGUUCUCCUCUU